UAGGGAAUCUUCGGCAAUGGACGAAAGUCUGACCGAGCAACGCCGCGUGAGUGAAGAAGGUUUUCGGAUCGUAAAACUCUGUUGGUAGAGAAGAACGUUGGUGAGAGUGGAAAGCUCAUCAAGUGACGGUAACUACCCAGAAAGGGACGGCUAACUACGUGCCAGCAGCCGCGGUAAAUACGUAGGUCCCGAGCGUUGUCCGGAUUUAUUGGGCGUAAAGCGAGCGCAGGUGGUUAUUAAGUCUGGUGUAAAAAGGCAGUGGCUCAACCAUUGUAUGCAUUGGAAACUGGUAGACUUGAGUGCAGGAGAGGAGAGUGGAAUUCCAUGUGUAGCGGUGAAAUGCGUAGAUAUAUGGAGGAACACCGGUGGCGAAAGCGGCUCUCUGGCCUGUAACUGACACUGAGGCUCGAAAGCGUGGGGAGCAAACA
Molecule: ribosomal RNA, 428 nt
Filed under: uncultured Lactococcus sp.
Lineage: Bacteria; Bacillati; Bacillota; Bacilli; Lactobacillales; Streptococcaceae
Description: bacterial SSU rRNA
Rfam family: Bacterial small subunit ribosomal RNA
Source: RNAcentral